AGGCCUGGCCAAGGACCGAGAAGGGGAUCUAUGAAAGAAGACUCAAGUGGGGAUUGACAGAGCCAGAUUGGGUGGAGUCCAAGCUUUGGGCAGGUCUUCAGGCACCAUGGAGGACAAACGCAACAUCCAGAUCAUCGAGUGGGAACACCUGGACAAGAAGAAGUUCUACGUGUUUGGUGUGGCAAUGACAAUGAUGAUCCGUGUCAGUGUCUACCCAUUCACCCUCAUCCGCACCCGGUUGCAAGUUCAGAAGGGGAAGAGCCUCUACCAUGGGACCUUCGAUGCCUUCAUCAAGAUCCUGCGAGCAGAUGGUAUCACUGGCCUCUACCGAGGGUUCCUGGUCAAUACCUUCACCCUCAUCUCUGGCCAGUGUUAUGUCACCACUUAUGAGCUCACCCGGAAGUUUGUAGCUGACUACAGCCAGAGUAACACAGUCAAAUCACUG
This 445-nucleotide small RNA is filed under the name Pan troglodytes (chimpanzee). RNAcentral's name for it is "processed transcript". Lineage: Eukaryota; Metazoa; Chordata; Mammalia; Primates; Hominidae. The record is from RNAcentral.